This 731-nucleotide ribosomal RNA is filed under the name uncultured organism. Its description in RNAcentral is "bacterial SSU rRNA". It matches the Rfam family "Bacterial small subunit ribosomal RNA", at positions 42 to 769 of the family's 1533-position model. The record is from RNAcentral.
GGAGGCUUACACAUGCAAGUCGAGGGGUACAGGUCACUUCGGUGAUGCUGACGACCGGCGCACGGGUGAGUAACGCGUAUGGAACCUACCUGAAACAGGGGGAUAGCUUCCGGAAACGGGGAUUAAUACCCCAUACGAUUCAUUUGUGGCCUCACAAAUGGAUAAAAGCUACGGCGGUUUCAGAUGGUCAUGCGUACCAUUAGUUAGUUGGUGAGGUAAAGGCUCACCAAGGCGAUGAUGGUUAGGGGUCCUGAGAGGGUAGUCCCCCACACUGGUACUGAGACACGGACCAGACUCCUACGGGAGGCAGCAGUGAGGAAUAUUGGUCAAUGGGCGCUAGCCUGAACCAGCCAUGCCGCGUGCAGGAAGACGGCCCUACGGGUUGUAAACUGCUUUUCUGCAGGAAGAAUAUAUAGUCUUAGGGCUAUAUUGACGGUACUGCAGGAAUAAGCAUCGGCUAACUCCGUGCCAGCAGCCGCGGUAAUACGGAGGAUGCAGGCGUUAUCCGGAUUCAUUGGGUUUAAAGGGUGCGCAGGCUGUAAAGCAAGUCAGUGGUGAAAGCCCUGGGCUAUACUCAGGGAUUGCCAUUGAAACUGUUUUACUAGAGUGUAGUAGAGGACGGCGGAAUGAGUUGUGUAGCGGUGAAAUGCAUAGAUAUAACUCAGAACGCCUAUUGCGUAGGCAGCUUGUCUAUACUACAAUUGACGCUGAGGCACGAACGCGUGGGGAGC